AUACGUAGGUGGCAAGCGUUGUCCGGAAUUAUUGGGCGUAAAGCGCAUGUAGGCGGUUUGGUAAGUCGGUCGUGAAAAUGCGGUGCUUAACGCCGUAUGGGGAUCGAAACUGCUGAACUUGAGUGCAGGAGAGGGAAGGGGACCUCCCAGUGUAGAGGUGAAAUGCGUAGAUAUUGGGAAGAACACCGGUGGCGAAGGCGCCUUUCUGGACUGUGUCUGACGCUCAGAUGCGAAAGCCAGGGUAGCGAACGGGAUUAGAUACCCCGGUAGUCCUGGCCGUAAACGAUGGGUACUAGGUGUGGGAGGUAUCGACUCCUUCCGUGCCGGAGUUAACGCAAUAAGUACCCCGCCUGGGGAGUACGGCCGCAAGGCUUAAACUCAAAGGAAUUGACGGGG
This 396-nucleotide ribosomal RNA is filed under the name uncultured bacterium. Its description in RNAcentral is "partial 16S ribosomal RNA". It matches the Rfam family "Bacterial small subunit ribosomal RNA", at positions 523 to 918 of the family's 1533-position model. The record is from RNAcentral.